This 459-nucleotide ribosomal RNA is filed under the name uncultured bacterium. RNAcentral describes it as "partial 16S ribosomal RNA". It matches the Rfam family "Bacterial small subunit ribosomal RNA", at positions 338 to 795 of the family's 1533-position model. The record is from RNAcentral.
CCUACGGGUGGCAGCAGUGAGGAAUAUUGGUCAAUGGGCGCGAGCCUGAACCAGCCAAGUCGCGUGAGGGAAGACGGUCCUAUGGAUUGUAAACCUCUUUUGUAGGGGAGCAAAAGACGCCACGCGUGGCGUUCCGAGAGUACCCGAACAUAAAGCAUCGCCAAACUCCGUGCCAGCAGCCGCGGUAAUACGGAGGAUGCGAGCGUUAUCCGGAUUUAUGGGGGUUAAAGGGUGGGCAGGGGGAAGAUAAAGUCAGCGUUAAAAUUGACAGGCUCAACCUCUUCGAGCCGUUGAAACUGGUUUUCUUGAGUGAGCGAGAAGUAUGCGGAAUGCGUGGUGUAGCGGUGAAAUGCAUGGAUAUCACGCAGAACUCCGAUUGCGAAGGCAGCAUACCGGCGCUCAACUGACGCUCAUGCACGAAAGUGUGGGUAUCGAACAGGAUUAGAUACCCUGGUAGUC